CAUUGUCUCUAGAGGGUAUAAGAGAUAAGACCUGCCCGAUGAGAUUUCAAUGGCCGCAGUAAUUUGACUGUGCAAAGGUAGCAUAAUCAUUAGUUUUUUAAUUGAGGACUGGUAUGAAAGGUAUAACGAGGUAUUUGUUUUCUUAAAUAAAAAAUAAAAUUUUACUUUUUAGUUAAAAGGCUAAAUUAAUUUUAAGGGACGAGAAGACCCUAUAGAGUUUUAUAAAUAAUGUUAAUUUAUUUCAGUAAAAUUAGAGGAUUAACUUAUUUUAUUUGAUUGGGGAGAUUUUGUAAUAAAACUUAUAAUUAGAGUAACAUUAAUUUAUGAUUUUGUGAUCCAUAAGAUGAUUAAAAGACUAAAUUACCUUAGGGAUAACAGCGUUAUUCCCUUGGAGAGUUCUUAUCAAUAGGGGAGUUUGCGACCUCGAUGUUGGAUUAAGAAUAUAAUUAAAUGAAGCUGUUUAAUUAAUAGGUCUGUUCGACCUUUAAAUUCUUACAUGAUCU
RNAcentral lists this ribosomal RNA (503 nucleotides) under Tricorythus sp. BMNH 704101. RNAcentral describes it as "partial 16S ribosomal RNA". It matches the Rfam family "Bacterial large subunit ribosomal RNA", at positions 1826 to 2606 of the family's 2925-position model. Lineage: Eukaryota; Metazoa; Arthropoda; Insecta; Ephemeroptera; Tricorythidae. The record is from RNAcentral.